Molecule: long non-coding RNA, 722 nt
Filed under: Lathyrus oleraceus (garden pea)
Lineage: Eukaryota; Viridiplantae; Streptophyta; Magnoliopsida; Fabales; Fabaceae
Description: Pisum sativum (pea) long non-coding RNA (PSAT_LNC029598)
Source: RNAcentral
GCAAAAGGGGAAUCCAUCAAGGACUGAUCUAUCUUUGAUUGAUUGAAGGUCCUCGCCUAGCCUCUUAAUAAGUUAAGGUUCUAUUUCCUUUUCUUGAUCUAAUCCCUUCUUAUUAAGAUCGGUUAAUCGUUUUUGCAGUGAGUGUUCAGGCAAGACUUUUUUGCUUGAGCCAUUCUGUAAUCAUUCCAUACCUUCUACAUUCUUAGUCUUCUCUAUACGACAACAAGGGGAUUGGACUACUUAUAUAUAAGACUGGAAGGCUGCAACUGGAGGCAAUUGGACGAAAGUUGGUAAACAAAUUCCAUGCCUUAAGCAUAGUAAAGUCACAUAUCCACUAAAUGCAAUAAAAAUAAGGACGAAAAAGCAAAUUUCUUACUCCCUUGCAGGCAAAAGAAAGAACGCAUACCAAUGCCUUCUCUCGGCCUAAGGAUAAGGAGUGUUUUCUAGGAUGCUAAAUAAAAUAGAUGGAUAAGGGGCGUAGCAGGAAGUCAAGCAGGAAAGUCAUCAGUGACGGCGUACUCUCUACCCGACAAGAGCUAUGUUGAUGCCCCCUACCAAGGGGUAACUUCCCGGUUCAUAAGCCAUUCCCUUCCAUUAUUAAAUCCAUCCAUGACAUUGUGUAUAUAACAAAACCCACUUGACCUUCCCGCUUGCCUGUAGAAUCAGAAAAGCAAGCUCAAAUCCCUAAUCUUUCGGUUGCCUGCCGACCUAUUGCAUUAAAG